AUGGGAAAAUUUAUGCAUUCAUGGUCAUAUCAGUACUUUUGGCAGAAAGAUGAACAGUACAACUUUUUGUCACCGUUAGUGCUUCAUGCUGUGAGUGAAAUUAUAUUGUUGAUUUGCUACAAAAAAUGUCAUUCCAAUAAAUUUGACAGAGAGGGCGGGAAUUUUCCUAUGCAAACUGUACUUAAAGUCCCGUUUUAUUGCUACUUGGUAAUAUAUCCAAUACGUACCCAAUUUGUCCAACCAUGCUGUCGUGUCACAGUGAAAUACUACUACAGCUUGAUGUGCUCAAAGCCUCAAACUAGAAAUAUAUCAAAAAUAAAAAACUAUGUGAGUGAAAAUGCACUCACUCUGAUAGGAGCCAUUUUGAUCAAUAUAUUUAUCAUAUAUGUUAUUAGUGCAAUUGCAAUUAUAACAAAGCUUCCUAAUGUCAAAGGUUUGUCGGAGAGAUAA
This 450-nucleotide ribosomal RNA is filed under the name Triticum aestivum (bread wheat). RNAcentral describes it as "partial small subunit ribosomal RNA". Lineage: Eukaryota; Viridiplantae; Streptophyta; Magnoliopsida; Poales; Poaceae. The record is from RNAcentral.